CCAUGCAAAUAUAGAAUAUUUGGUUUUGGUCCUUGGUAUUUUGUUUUAAUCCUUGUAAAAUCAUUUCAUAUUGAAAUUGGUCCCUAUAAUAUUCAUUUUAGUCCUCGUUUUGAGGGACUAAAAUCAAAUAUUCUACAUAUUACAAAGACCAAAUCCAAUAUGAUUUAAAUUUUACAAGGACUAAAACAAAAUACUAAGGACCAAAACCAAAUUUUUUAUAUUUGCAGGG
RNAcentral lists this microRNA precursor (229 nucleotides) under Medicago truncatula (barrel medic). Its description in RNAcentral is "miR2630u stem-loop (mtr-MIR2630u)". It matches the Rfam family "MIR2630 microRNA precursor family". The record is from miRBase by way of RNAcentral. Lineage: Eukaryota; Viridiplantae; Streptophyta; Magnoliopsida; Fabales; Fabaceae.